This 1817-nucleotide ribosomal RNA is filed under the name Trichinella murrelli. Its description in RNAcentral is "SSU rRNA". It matches the Rfam family "Eukaryotic small subunit ribosomal RNA". Lineage: Eukaryota; Metazoa; Nematoda; Enoplea; Trichinellida; Trichinellidae. The record is from RNAcentral.
CCUGGUUGAUCCUGCCAGUAGUCAUAUGCUUGUCUCAAAGAUUAAGCCAUGCAUGUGUAAGCACACACUGUUUUAAAAGUGAAGCCGCGAAUGGCUCAUUACAACAACCACAGUUUAUUAGAACUUACAAUCAUGGAUAACUGUGGUAAUUGUAGAGCUAAUACACGCACAAAAACUUCAACUGAAUUGGUUGAAGUGCUUUUAUUAGAACAAAAACCGAACGGCGUUUGACGAAUGUUGAACGUCGAAACUGUUUGGUGAAUCUGAAUAACUAUUUCUGAUCGCAUGGUCUAGCACCGGCGACAUCACUUUCAAGUGUCUGCCUUAUCAACCUUCAAUGGUAGUCUAUGCGACUACCAUGGUGAUAACGGGUAACGGAGAAUCAGGGUUCGACUCCAGAGAGGGAGCCUGAGAAACGGCUACCACAUCCAAGGAAGACAGCAGGCGCGCAAAUUACCCACUCCUAGCUUGGGGAGGUAGUGACGAAAAAUAACGAGACGAUUCUCGUUUGAGAAACGUGAUUGAAAUGAGUACGCUUUACACACGCUUACGAGUAGCAAUUGGAGGGCAAGUCUGGUGCCAGCAGCCGCGGUAAUUCCAGCUCCAAUAGCGUAUAUUAAAGUUGCUGCGGUUAAAACGCUCAUAGUUGAAUUGUGGUCUUAGACAACAGUCCCCCUACAUAGGUGUGGCACGGUUGCUCGAGAUCUUCAUUCGUGGUUGCUGUUGUUGCUCUUCAUUGAGUGUCAAUGGUGCCUCGAGAUUUUACUUUGAAAAAAUUAGAGUGCUCAAAGCAGGUUGUGAUGCCUGAAUAAUGGUGCAUGGAAUAAUAGAAUACGAUCUCGGUUCUAUUUUGUUGGUUUUCGAACCGGAGAUAAUGAUUGAAAGGAACAGACGGGGGCAUUCGUAUUGCUGCGUUAGAGGUGAAAUUCUUGGAUCGCAGCAAGAUGAACAAUUGCGAAAGCAUUUGCCAAGAAUGUUUUCAUUAAUCAAGAACGAAAGUUAGAGGUUCGAAGGCGAUCAGAUACCGCCCUAGUUCUAACGGUAAACUAUGCCAACCAGCGAUUCGCCGAAGUUCAUUUAAGACUCGGCGAGCAGCUUCCGGGAAACCAAAGUGUUUCGGUUCCGGGGGAAGUAUGGUUGCAAAGCUGAAACUUAAAGGAAUUGACGGAAGGGCACCACCAGGAGUGGAGCCUGCGGCUUAAUUUGACUCAACACGGGAAACCUCACCCGGCCCGGACACUGGAAGGAUUGACAGAUUGACAGCUCUUUCUUGAUUCAGUGGGUAGUGGUGCAUGGCCGUUCUUAGUUGGUGGAGCGAUUUGUCUGGUUAAUUCCGAUAACGAACGAGACUCUACCCUAUUAAAUAGUGACAGUAUUGUAUUUUUUGUGCUGAUCACUUCUUAGAGGGACUGGCAAAUUGAAAGCUGCACGAAAAAGAGCAAUAACAGGUCUGUGAUGCCCUUCGAUGUCCGGGGCUGCACGCGCGCUACAAUGAAAGCGUCAACGUGAGUUACGUCCUUACCUGAAAAGGUUUGGCAAUCGAAUGAAACGUUUUCUUGAAUGGAAUAGGGAAUUGCAAUUGUUUCCCUUGAACGAGGAAUUCCCAGUAAGCGUGAGUCAUUAGCUCGCGUUGAUUACGUCCCUGCCCUUUGUACACACCGCCCGUCGCUACUACCGAUUGGAUGAUUUAGUGAGGUGUUUUGACUGGUGCCAGUAGUCGGAUAUGUAUUCGGCUUCGCGCCGGGAAAUUUCCCAAACCAAAUCAUCUAGAGGAAGUAAAAGUCGUAACAAGGUUUCCGUAGGUGAACCUGCGGAAG